RNAcentral lists this ribosomal RNA (287 nucleotides) under uncultured bacterium. RNAcentral's name for it is "partial 16S ribosomal RNA". It matches the Rfam family "Bacterial small subunit ribosomal RNA", at positions 773 to 1060 of the family's 1533-position model. The record is from RNAcentral.
GUGGAUUAGAUACCCUGGUAGUCCACGCCGUAAACUAUGGGUACUAGGUGUAGGGGGUAUCGACUCCCCCUGUGCCGCCGUUAACACAAUAAGUACCCCGCCUGGGGAGUACGGUCGCAAGACUAAAACUCAAAGGAAUUGACGGGGGCCCGCACAAGCAGCGGAGCAUGUGGUUUAAUUCGAAGCAACGCGAAGAACCUUACCUAGACUUGACAUCUCCUGAAUUACCCGUAACUGGGGAAGCUCUUCGGAGCAGGAAGACAGGUGGUGCAUGGUCGUCGCCAGCU